RNAcentral lists this ribosomal RNA (497 nucleotides) under uncultured bacterium. RNAcentral's name for it is "partial 16S ribosomal RNA". It matches the Rfam family "Bacterial small subunit ribosomal RNA", at positions 28 to 507 of the family's 1533-position model. The record is from RNAcentral.
GAUGAACGCUGGCGGCGUGCCUAAUACAUGCAAGUCGAGCGAACGGACGAGAAGCUUGCUUCUCUGAUGUUAGCGGCGGACGGGUGAGUAACACGUGGAUAACCUACCUAUAAGACUGGGAUAACUUCGGGAAACCGGAGCUAAUACCGGAUAAUAUUUUGAACCGCAUGGUUCAAAAGUGAAAGACGGUCUUGCUUUAACUUAUAGAUAUAUCCGCGCUUCAUUAGCUAGUUGGUAAGGUAACGGCCUACCAAGGCAACAAUGCAUAGCCGACCUGAGAGGGUGAUCGGCCACCCUGGAACUGGGACACGGUCCAGACUCCUACGGGAGGCAGCAGUAGGGAAUCUUCCGCAAUGGGCGAAAGCCUGACGGAGCAACGCCGCGUGAGUGAUGAAGGUCUUCGGAUCGUAAAACUCUGUUGUUAGGGAAGAACAUAUGUGUAAGUAACUGUGCACAUCUUGACGGUACCUAAUCAGAAAGCCACGGCUAACUACGUG